UGUGAUAGUGUUAUUUCCACACUUUUUAUGCAUAGCUCUCAUGUGUGUUAUUAAAUUUUAAUUUUAAUUCAAAAUCAAUGAUAAGAUGAAAAAUGUGCAUAACAAAUGUAGAGAGACAUGCAUGCUACUUCUGUAAGAGACUAAGAGUCGGCCGCCGUGGACUCCCACCAGAGGCACCGGGAGUGCAUGAGCUCAGCCAAUGAAUGAAACUCCACGUGAUCAAAUUGUGAAACUGCGUGCGCGGCAAUAAUUAACCAUGGUUUUAGUCAAAUGCUUAUCAAUACCCACAGUCCCUCCUCAUUUUUAGUGCAGUGGCACUCAGUGCACCGAGUCGUCUCACAGGAAUAUUGCAGGAGUUUUCAAGAGAGAGAGAUGGCUGAGGCAGACAUGGGUAGCAAAGAAAGCAGAUGGAGUCUUCAAGGAAAGACAGCUCUUGUCACGGGCGGAACAAAAGGAAUAGGGUUAGCUCUCUUUGCCUUCUCUUGCUAUCUUCAAAGUAAUUUGUCAUAGAGAUCUAUAAAAGUCAUCAAUCCAUCAUUCACAUUCAUAAAAUGUUAGCUUCUCUCGCUGUCGCUUGCCCUCUUUGUUUUCUUGGUCAACAAAUCGUCUUCGUCUUUCAUGGGAGCCAUUGUGAUCUCUCUCUCUCUCUCUUUCUCACCCAUCAUCGUUGUCUUCCAUGGAGCCACAGUCACCGCAAGCCAAUCGUCUUCCAUGAGAGCUAUCGUCAUCUCUCUCCUAUCGUCAGAUCACGGUGGUAGAUGCCCUAACUAUGGUAGAAAUCAACAAUUGCGCAAUAAGAACUUCUCUCUGUUUUUUUCUUUUCUUUUCUUUUUUUUCUUAAUACAAUGGAUCCAAAUUCAUCCGCACCAAGGGGUCUCAAGGCGAGCUAAUUACACUAACAACGACAUCAGUUCAGAUAUUAGCCUAUAAGAGCAUUUUCAACCUCUUAUCUAAAGCUUUUAUGAGCCAAAACUCAACCCCAACAUAUUAUCUAUUGGAAUAUACAUAAAAUAUUAUAUAUUUUUCGUUUAUUUCAUAUUUGUUGAUAUUGUAAUAUUCUCUAUUUAUGAAUUGAUUAAGAUUUAAUUACCAUACUUGUAUUUACUCUAUACCCUAUAAAUAAGAACCUUGUAUUAUAGACAAAAAAAUGAAUGAACACAAUGUAAUCCUAAGUGCCAUUUAAAGUGAUGAACGUAGUGUUCAUCACGGAACCAUACGUAAUCUUUGUGUAUCUUUCUCAGUCGUUAUUUUGUGUCAAAUUUUCUGAUGAAUUUUAGUUGGUAUAGAUUUAGGAUUGCUAGCUUCGUUCUUAACCUUCAUGAGUGCCUCAUGUAAUUAACUCUACGAUAAAAUUUUUCAUUAAAUUAGAGGUAUACUUUUCCAACAUAUCCACACUGGACCGGGAUCCUCGAUCUCCAUUUCAACUAGGUCCAUGCUUCCUCUAUAUUUUCCUAUUUUAUUUUUUCGUAUAUUCUAACAUUAACCAUCCAGUUAUUUAAACCAUAAUUUUGCUACAGUGAAAAGCAAAAGAUAAAUUAGAGAAGAGCUGCACACCGUUUUUUGGUUUUAGUCCUAAUUCUAGUUUUUAAUCUAUUUUUUAUAAUCUUUUUGGGAUUUUAGUUCAAUUUCAAAAACUUGUGUUGGAAAUUUUUAGACUUGGUCAUGGCGCUCCUGGGAGACAGGGAAUGAGAUGGGGUUUGGACCUUUUUUUUUUUUUUUUUUUCCUAAGAGAAUACAUCUUAUUUUAUAUGCUUUAGGAUGCACCAUUUACUAUUAAUCUUUUUCUCAAACCAACCAUUGAAUCUACUGGGUUUUAGAGAUCCAAUCGUUGC
Molecule: long non-coding RNA, 1832 nt
Filed under: Betula platyphylla (Asian white birch)
Lineage: Eukaryota; Viridiplantae; Streptophyta; Magnoliopsida; Fagales; Betulaceae
Source: RNAcentral